RNAcentral lists this long non-coding RNA (1146 nucleotides) under Calidris pygmaea (Spoon-billed sandpiper). Its description in RNAcentral is "lncRNA (ENSCPGG00000010302.1)". Lineage: Eukaryota; Metazoa; Chordata; Aves; Charadriiformes; Scolopacidae. The record is from RNAcentral.
AAAAUGCCUAGUAAUGAAGGAUUUGAUAUCCUGAAUUUCAAUGUUAAAAUUGAUACUUCCUGGCUUUUCCAGGAAUUAGAAGAUGCAAGCACACCCAAUGAACAAGCAAACAGUGCUGGAGAAGAGAAUUUGAACCUCAGAAUAAAAGAGCCAGAAAAGUCACAGCGAAAACUGAAAGGUGUUCUAGAGGAUUAUGUGGAGUCAGAUUCUGUCCUAAGAAACAGGAUGAAAGAGCUGGAGCUGUCACACAAAACACUUCUUGUGACAAUUGAUCAACUAAAUGUGAAGUUGCACCAGGUUGAAAAUGCAAAUGUGCGUGUUAAAGGGAAACUGCGAGACAUUCAGGAGGACCUGAUCAACUUGGUUGAAAACCGAGAAAAGUCAGAGAAAAAGCAAAAGGAAAAAUUACGUUGGCUUCAGGAGCAGCUGAAGACAAAAGAAGAUGAAAUAAAAAGCCAGUUGGAGUAUUUUGAACACUACAAACAAAGGCAGAGACAACAGACAGCAGUGCUGAGAGAAAGGGAAUGUUAUCUUCGGGGUGAGGUAUCUAGGUUGGAAAAGCAAGUCCUAGAUCUUAGUGCCCAUAUUGCUCUUUUGACAUCUGAAUUAGAAGAGGGGAUGGUGCAGUAUCUCCAGCAGAAGCUGGAAUCAACAUUCAGUGGGCCUCAGGGAUGUAAAGACUCUGAUGUGGAAGUGAUGGAAUUGAAAACUUGCAUUAAUAAUGUGGAGCAUGACAUGAAAAGCCACCUUGAGACACUUCAGCAAAAUAUGAAGCUCUUGAGGGAAAAAGAGGAGGACAACAUAAGAGGUCAGGCAGACCUGCUGACUGAACUCCAGCGCUCUCAGGACACUGAAGACUUUCUCAGAAGAAAAUUGGAAGAAUCUUGCCAUCGUGUUUAUAGUCUGAAAUUAUCUGAAGCCAAACUACAGGAAAAAAUAGAGGAGCUUUUGGAUGAAAAUAGGGCUUUAAAAGAUCAAGGUAGAGUGACGUUGAGGAAGAAAGAAAAGGACUCACAACCUACAAGAUUGGAGAAUGGAGAUGACAGCAUUAACCUGGUAAGUAAAAAUAAGGCAAAAUAUAAUUUGCUUUUAUAUCACCUUGGAUUACACUUGUCAUUAGAUGUACAAUCAAGAUGUGAGGCUUUU